UUGCUUUUUUUUAAUCUAAAGACGAUAACCCCCAAAUUCCACUAUUUUCCUUUAAUAAUAGCUUACCAUUUAAUAUGCAUUUGUUAAAUGCUGGGCCCUUGCCAAGGACUUUACAUAUAUUAUUUUUAUUAGGCUUUCCAAAUAAUCCCAUACAGCAGUUAUUUUUAUCCCUAUUUUAUAAAUGGGAAAGGUGAGGCUCAGGAAGUUAAGUCCAGGUGGAAAUGUACUCAGUGGGCAAAUGGUGGAGGCAGGCUCGCAGUCCAGUCUGGCUGGUCCCAGGACUGGUCUUCUUUGGAAUCUUUUUCCUGGAACCGAUUCCACGGGCCUCUUUCAGGAGUCCAGGGCUCUCCUCGCAGUCUCUUGCUGCCCAGCGACUUCCCUAAAUCCCGUUGAGGCGCCGGGCCCCAACUCCAGGCAGAUUUCAUGGGAAAGGCUGCCACCUUGUGGCCAGAUGGCAAACCCAACAUUUGCCGGGAGGAAGUGAGGGCUGGUGAGGGAGGGGCUUUGCGGAGCAGCUGGUGCAGCCUUGCUUUCCGAGGGCGGCGCGCAGCCACAGUGCCCGCUGCGGGUGCUGGGGGAGGGCGCCUUACAGGCUGCCCACCUGCCUCCUCAGGGUGGAAGGCAGGGCUUGGGUGUGAGCGUGCUGAAUCAGAACUUUCCUGGAAAGUCGCCACUUGGUGUGGUCAGAGGAUCACUGAAGUAAGGUGAAAUAUGUAUGUGAUGGCUGGAGCUCCAGCAUUUACCUUGUGACUAUGAGGUGACUUUGGGGCUGGAGACCUCCAGGAUGAUGGCCUAUCCAGGGAAAAAGAGUCUAGAUCUCUGUUGAUCUAGGUGUCUUCAAUGUUCAUCCAUACAGCCAAGGAUUGCUUUCCCUAAGCUCCUUUCAGAUCAUAGGAAAAUAGGCUUGCCUGUCUAGGUGCUUUUACUGAGAUGUCUAUUAUAAGAUACAGGUACGGUCAUGUGACCUGUGCCUGCCUGACUCAUCACGGAUCCCCAGCUCCCUGACCAGUGAUUGGCCCAGGAAUGUGAACUCCCUCUGCCAGCAACUGCACAGGCCCUGUGCUUAAGAUGGCAGGAUGGCAAGACAGAGCAACUGGAGCAAGUCUUCAUUAAGAAGAGCCGCCCGAUGCAUUUGGACCGUGAUAUGUUACGCCCAUGAGAUUUCAGGGUUCAUGUGUUACCUGGCCGUGGCCUAUCUUCUUCCAGCGGAUACAGAAGAUACUGCAGUUUGCAACUUUGCAGAUACCAGCAGAGGAAGAAAAACAUGGGAGACUGCUAAUAACCUAACGUGGAGACUUAAAACUUCAGCCAGACAAAGGCAGAAUCUUAAUAUGGAGGGGCCUGGCUCUGCAGGGAGGUCACCUGGGCUGGCUGGAUUUCAAUCCAGUUACACAGCAAAAGUUAUGACCCAAGCUUUGCCGAUGCUGAGCCUUCUACUCUCAGGGAUUCCAAAGCAUUUGAUAAAUUCUUUGUUCCAUUGUUUGUUUACUGACUUCCUAGUGCUUGUCUUAUUCUGCAGUUAUUUUUAUUUAUUAGUUUACUUAUGAUCUGCCCCUCUCUCCCAUCUCCCCGCAACCUGAAGGUAAGGUGCAGGAAGUUAGGGCCUUUGCUUUCUAUGCCAUUACAUUCCCCUCCCCAGGGAAGGGGUUAGCAUGAUGGUAGGAACUGUUCCCUCUUGAUGACAGAUAAGUGACUGGGGCAGAAUCCACUUCUGCUGAGAUGAUCUGGAUGACCAUGGAUAAGCAGGAAGGCGUGUGACAUACUGGCAAGUGAGUCAGACAGAAAGAGAGACCUGGGAUCGAGUCCUGGCAUUGCCCUUUCUAGCUAUUGUGUCCUUGGACAGGUCAUUUAGCUUCCCUGAGUCUGUUUUCUCGUCUGAAAAAUGAAGGUAGUAAUAAUUAUCCUCAUGGGGCUAUUGAAAAAGUUAAAAUAAUACAAGCAAAGCAUUUAACAUAGGGUUUACAUUAUAAUAAUCCUCAAUUAAUGUUAUAUAUUGGUUUUAAAAAGAUGUCACGUGGGGCAAGUUGCCUGGUCUGGGAAAACUAGGGUUGGCUAAAACUCCCCACUGAGGUUCAGUUGUUACUUCCUCUUGGGAAAUCUUCCCUGAACCUCUCAGGCUGAGUGGCAUCCCUCUGGGAUCCCAUCAGACCCUGCAUGUACCUCUGUCUGUCUUUUCACUUAACCUGUGAUCAUCCUGUGUCUGCAUAUUUUAUCAGACCCUUGAUUCUUUGAGUGCAAAGAACAUACUUUAAAAUUUUUGUUCUUCCAGUACUUGCUUAGCAAAUUACUCAGCACAUAGUAGGCAUGAACACCAAUUCAUUGGUUGAAUUGGCCAGACAGUGCAAACUGAGGAAGAAGACCAAAGCUGUCUCUAGUUACAGCAUAAUGUAAAUCCCCACAGCAGGAAAUGGCUGCCUUUUUCAGAACGUUUUUCCCAAGGUAUGAGUCCCAAAGGGGGAUGGAUUCUACCUUCUGAGCGAAGAGUUUGCGUUUUCCAGGGAAUAAAGGAGUAUUAGAGGCUUUGAAGCUGGGAAACGUUCUCAGCUCUGUGAGGAAAGGGUGUAUCCCCUCCCACUCUGUGGUAACAGAUUGGGUGGAAUCACUUACCCGGAGCUUCCUGCCGAAGAUGGUGACUUUGCCUUUAAUCUGUUCCUUUCUUAGGCGCCACUCAAUGGAGUUUAAGCCAUUCUCCAUAGGCAGGGAGAUGUUGCAGCGUCCAAUGGUGGGGGUGAUGGUGCCUGCUAGGACAUGGGGCUCGCUGUGGAAGCUGACACCCAUCCCAUUAGCAUACAUCACCCUCAGGGUACCAUUAUUACAGAGCUGGUAGCUGUUCCGAACUUGAUCUGGAAAAAUGUUUCCGUGGUACUUUGCAGCCAUCAGUCGAAGGCUGCCUUCAAUUAGCACACAUACCAUGUGAAGCCAUCUAACUCAAGGUUGCUGGUCUAGCCACAGGUCAGAUCCACUACAAAUCAAAGCCCAGAAUUCUUCAAGAAAAUGGAGAGAAGAAGUCAAUCUUCCCCAUCCUCAUGCUUUUACUGCUGACUGCAUCUGAUACCACCCCCACUCAAGAGAACUCUGAAGAGACUCAAAUACAUCAGGGAGAUGGAGCCAGUGGGUGCUGAUAAUGUGUUUAUCUUCCCCAGUGGAAACUACACGAGUCAAUCAGACUUCUGACCUUUUCCUUUAUCGAAAAGUUACAGGAAGGAAAUGUGAGUCAGAGACUCCUUUUACAGAUACACUGAUUCCUGAUUGUGUGGGCAAAGGAGCUGGCCUGGGCUGGCCUCUGAGAAGUCAGCUUUUGGGGCAGUGAGCAAGUGUGUACCUGUCGCUCCUGCGACUCCAGCCGUCACGCAGAAGGACAGAAUCUACAUCAUUAAUCAUUUGGCAGAGCAGAAAUAGAGUCAUUGAAACAGGCUCUGCUGUGGGAUAAUAGUCCAGAAAUGUCACCAUUUAUCUAGUGAGAGGACACUUUUAUCCUCUGACAACGGGCUAGCCCACCGACAUUAUAUCUUAAUUAAAAGAAAAAUUAAUCGGGACAAUUCAUUUUCUUGCCAGCCCCAGUGCUUGCCCUGGACUGCAAAACACGUCUAAUAGCAACAAUAACCACAGGGUGGGCAGAGAGCUUUGAGAUCCCAGUCUCGGAGAGAGAAUGUUAAAGAGCUCCAGUCCCAGGGCAACCAACUCAUCAAACAAAUGCUUAAAAGAGAGAAUCAGGAUGGAACAAGAAAAUAUGAAAUCUAGUGGUGGGCCAGGAGAAUAAAUGGCCUUUGAGAAGAUAACUAUGUGUUUUGGGUUGGUGGGGAGAGGUGGUGGUGAUGGAAGGGUAAGAGGUAGGGAGAGAGUAUAUGGGGGGCGGGCGGGUGGAAAUGGACAUUUUCAGAUAACUAUGUAGACAGUUCAAAUAUCUAGACAUUUGGUUGGGUAUAGAUGACAUUCUGCUGUAUCUGAUUAAGUCAUUUUCUACAAGAUUGACCUCUUAUAGUUUGCUGUGGACACUUGAAUAAAACAGAAAGCUGAGGGGUA
Symphalangus syndactylus (siamang) is the source of this 4023-nucleotide long non-coding RNA. RefSeq lists it as uncharacterized. The record is from RefSeq and is a predicted model, not a curated record. Lineage: Eukaryota; Metazoa; Chordata; Mammalia; Primates; Hylobatidae.